RNAcentral lists this ribosomal RNA (253 nucleotides) under uncultured bacterium. Its description in RNAcentral is "partial 16S ribosomal RNA". It matches the Rfam family "Bacterial small subunit ribosomal RNA", at positions 524 to 776 of the family's 1533-position model. The record is from RNAcentral.
UACGUAGGGCGCAAGCGUUAUCCGGAAUUAUUGGGCGUAAAGAGCGUGUAGGCGGCCGCACAGGUCCGUUGUGAAAACUGGAGGCUUAACCUUCAGACGUCGAUGGAAACCGUGCGGCUAGAGUCCGGAAGAGGAGAAUGGAAUUCCUGGUGUAGCGGUGAAAUGCGCAGAUAUCAGGAAGAACACCCGUGGCUAAGGCGGUUCUCUAGUACGGUACUGACGCUGAGACGCGAAAGCGUGGGGAGCGAACAGG